UAAAGGGUUUUUAUAAAAACCAUCGCCAGAACCUGAAAGGUUUUAG
This is a non-coding RNA of Papilio machaon (common yellow swallowtail), 46 nucleotides long. The record is from Rfam. NCBI's taxonomy places the organism in Eukaryota, Metazoa, Arthropoda, Insecta, Lepidoptera, Papilionidae.